CCUACGGGGGGCAGCAGUGAGGAAUAUUGGUCAAUGGGCGGAAGCCUGAACCAGCCAAGUCGCGUGAGGGAAUAAGGCCCUACGGGUCGUAAACCUCUUUGGCCGGGGAGCAAGGUCGGGGACGUGUCCCGGCCCGGAGAGUACCCGGAGAAAAAGCAUCGGCUAACUCCGUGCCAGCAGGCGCGGUAAUACGGAGGAUGCGGGCGUUAUCCGGAUUUGUUGGGUUUGAAGGGUGCGUAGGCGGGCUUUUAAGUCGGCGGUAAAAAUUCGGGGCUCAACACUGUCCGGCCGUUGAAACUGGGCGCGUUGAGUGGGCGAGAAGAGGGCGGAAAGCGUGGGUAGCAAACAGGAUUAGAUACCCGAGUAGUC
RNAcentral lists this ribosomal RNA (369 nucleotides) under uncultured bacterium. Its description in RNAcentral is "partial 16S ribosomal RNA". It matches the Rfam family "Bacterial small subunit ribosomal RNA", at positions 338 to 795 of the family's 1533-position model. The record is from RNAcentral.